UACGAAGGGGGCUAGCGUUGUUCGGAAUUACUGGGCGUAAAGCGCACGUAGGCGGAUUUGUUAGUCAGGGGUGAAAUCCCGGGGCUCAACCUCGGAACUGCCUUUGAUACUGCAAGUCUCGAGUCCGGAAGAGGUGAGUGGAAUUCCUAGUGUAGAGGUGAAAUGCUUAGAUAUGGCACAGAACACCGAUAGUGAAGACAGCUCACGAGGGCCAAACUGACGCUGAGGCACGAAAGCGUGGGGAUCGAACAGG
RNAcentral lists this ribosomal RNA (253 nucleotides) under uncultured bacterium. RNAcentral's name for it is "partial 16S ribosomal RNA". It matches the Rfam family "Bacterial small subunit ribosomal RNA", at positions 524 to 776 of the family's 1533-position model. The record is from RNAcentral.